CAACUUUCAGCAAUGGAUCUCUUGGCUCUCGCAUCGAUGAAGAACGCAGCGAAAUGCGAUAAGUAAUGUGAAUUGCAGAAUUCAGUGAAUCAUCRAAUCUUUGAACGCAUCUUGCGCUCCUUGGUAUUCUGAGGAGCAUGCCUGUUUGAGUGUCAU
This 156-nucleotide ribosomal RNA is filed under the name Pseudosperma sororium. Its description in RNAcentral is "5.8S ribosomal RNA". It matches the Rfam family "5.8S ribosomal RNA". From Rfam's summary of the family: 5.8S ribosomal RNA (5.8S rRNA) is a component of the large subunit of the eukaryotic ribosome. It is transcribed by RNA polymerase I as part of the 45S precursor that also contains 18S and 28S rRNA. Lineage: Eukaryota; Fungi; Basidiomycota; Agaricomycetes; Agaricales; Inocybaceae. The record is from RNAcentral.